GAUGAAGAACGUAGCGAAAUGCGAUACUUGGUGUGAAUUGCAGAAUCCCGCGAAUCAUCGAGUUUUUGAACGCAAGUUGCGCCCGAAGCCAUUCGGCCGAGGGCACGUCUGCCUGGGUGUCACGCAUCGUUGCCCCCCCAAACUCCGGUUCGGGCGGGGCGGAAGUUGGCCUCCCGUGCGUGCCUGCGCGCGCGGUUAGCCCAAAAGCGAGUCCUCGGCGACGAGCGCCACGACAAUCGGUGGUUUUUUUACCCUCGUUCCUCGUCGUGCGUGCCCCGUCGCCCGAACGCGCUCUUGCGACCCUCACGCGUCGCCUCGGCGGCGCUCCCAACGCGACACCAGGUCAGGCGGGACUACCCGCUGAGUUUAAGCAUAUCAAUAAGCGGAGGA
RNAcentral lists this unclassified non-coding RNA (390 nucleotides) under soil metagenome. Its description in RNAcentral is "partial contains 5.8S ribosomal RNA, internal transcribed spacer 2, and large subunit ribosomal RNA". The stretch from base 1 to 122 matches the Rfam family "5.8S ribosomal RNA", at positions 35 to 154 of the family's 154-position model. The record is from RNAcentral.